This 75-nucleotide transfer RNA is filed under the name Parcubacteria group bacterium. Its description in RNAcentral is "tRNA-Glu". It matches the Rfam family "tRNA". From Rfam's summary of the family: Transfer RNA (tRNA) molecules are approximately 80 nucleotides in length. The record is from RNAcentral.
GGCCCUAUCGUCUAGUUUGGUCCAGGACGCCACGCUUUCAAUGUGGAAACACGGGUCCGAAUCCCGUUGGGGCCA